This 543-nucleotide ribosomal RNA is filed under the name Neofusicoccum parvum. RNAcentral describes it as "eukaryotic LSU rRNA". The stretch from base 182 to 335 matches the Rfam family "5.8S ribosomal RNA". The record is from RNAcentral. Lineage: Eukaryota; Fungi; Ascomycota; Dothideomycetes; Botryosphaeriales; Botryosphaeriaceae.
GGCUAACGACUUGAUCGAGCUCGGCUCGACUCUCCCACCCAAUGUGUACCUACCUCUGUUGCUUUGGCGGGCCGCGGUCCUCCGCACCGGCGCCCUUCGGGGGGCUGGCCAGCGCCCGCCAGAGGACCAUAAAACUCCAGUCAGUGAACUUCGCAGUCUGAAAAACAAGUUAAUAAACUAAAACUUUCAACAACGGAUCUCUUGGUUCUGGCAUCGAUGAAGAACGCAGCGAAAUGCGAUAAGUAAUGUGAAUUGCAGAAUUCAGUGAAUCAUCGAAUCUUUGAACGCACAUUGCGCCCCUUGGUAUUCCGAGGGGCAUGCCUGUUCGAGCGUCAUUUCAACCCUCAAGCUCUGCUUGGUAUUGGGCCCCGUCCUCCACGGACGCGCCUUAAAGACCUCGGCGGUGGCGUCUUGCCUCAAGCGUAGUAGAAAACACCUCGCUUUGGAGCGCACGGCGUCGCCCGCCGGACGAACCUUUGAAUUAUUUCUCAAGGUUGACCUCGGAUCAGGUAGGGAUACCCGCUGAACUUAAGCAUAUCAAAA